This 586-nucleotide long non-coding RNA is filed under the name Carica papaya (papaya). RNAcentral describes it as "long non-coding RNA (CPAP_LNC007124)". The record is from RNAcentral. Lineage: Eukaryota; Viridiplantae; Streptophyta; Magnoliopsida; Brassicales; Caricaceae.
CCAUACACGUUUGUUUAUACUUUAUGCCCCGUAGGCUUUAGUUUUUCUAAACUUUGACUCUGACUUGCUAUACUUGAAGAUUUGGGAGCAUUCUUUCCUCUUUGUAAUAGAUAUUUUAUUGACAUAGCUUGGGUUGUGAGGUUUUUCUUAGCAAGUUCAUUUUCGAGAGUUUUCUUUUUCAAAUUUUUUUAAGGUGUUGAAACCAUCAUCAAUUUAGAGAACUAGGGACAAACUUUUACAAGAGAAGUAUGUAACAAUAAACACAUGCAAAAACAAGAUUUAUAUAAUAAAACUACUUGAUAGUACUUUCUUAGACAGGCUUUUGAUCAUCUGCGAGUUAACUUUGCUAUAGGUUGUUAUGACAUGUAUAACUCCAGCAAAUUGUCAAGAUGGCUAAUCUUGAUUGUAAACUCCAUGGCCCCUCUCUUUGUUUUCCACAUAGCAUUUGUAGCAUCAUCGAGAUUUGUGCUCAAGGGCACCAAGCUUGCAUGGAUCAAUCUAUAUGCUUGUGACUGGCUUAGAUUCUCCUCAUAAGCUAACAAAUCAUCAUCGCAUGGUCUUUUUUUUUUUCGGUUGGUGCUUCCAU